GAUGAACGCUGGCGGCGUGCCUAAUACAUGCAAGUCGAGCGAACGGACGAGAAGCUUGCUUCUCUGAUGUUAGCGGCGGACGGGUGAGUAACACGUGGAUAACCUACCUAUAAGACUGGGAUAACUUCGGGAAACCGGAGCUAAUACCGGAUAAUAUUUUGAACCGCAUGGUUCAAAAGUGAAAGACGGUCUUGCUGUCACUUAUAGAUGGAUCCGCGCUGCAUUAGCUAGUUGGUAAGGUAACGGCUUACCAAGGCAACGAUGCAUAGCCGACCGGAGAGGGGGGUCGGCCACACGGGAACUGAGACGCGGUCCUGACUCCUACGGGAGGCAGCAGUAGGGAAUCUUCCGCAGUGGGCGAAAGCCUGACGGAGCAACGCCGCGUGAGUGAUGAAGGUCUUCGGAGCGUAAAACUCUGUUAUUAGGGAAGAACAUAUGUGUAAGUAACUGUGCACAGCUUGACGGUACCUAAUCAGAAAGCCACGGCUAACUACGUG
Molecule: ribosomal RNA, 497 nt
Filed under: uncultured bacterium
Lineage: Bacteria
Description: partial 16S ribosomal RNA
Rfam family: Bacterial small subunit ribosomal RNA
Source: RNAcentral